RNAcentral lists this small RNA (25 nucleotides) under Bombyx mori (domestic silkworm). RNAcentral's name for it is "ovarian small RNA-11080". The record is from RNAcentral. Lineage: Eukaryota; Metazoa; Arthropoda; Insecta; Lepidoptera; Bombycidae.
ACAGACAAAAGUGUGAAGUUGGGAC